GUCGGACGGGAUUGAGAAGCUUGCUUUUCAUGAGAGUGGCGCACGGGUGCGUAACACGUAUGUAACCUACCUUAAUCAGGGGGAUAGCCUCUCGAAAGAGAGAUUAACACCGCAUAAAAUCAAUUUAUGGCAUCAUAGAAUGAUCAAAUAUUUAUAGGAUUAAGAUGGGCAUGCGGAACAUUAGCUAGUUGGUAAGGUAACGGCUUACCAAGGCUACGAUGUUUAGGGGAUCUGAGAGGAUGACCCCCCACACUGGUACUGAGACACGGACCAGACUCCUACGGGAGGCAGCAGUAAGGAAUAUUGGUCAAUGGGCGCAAGCCUGAACCAGCCAUGCCGCGUGCAGGAAGACGGCCCUACGGGUUGUAAACUGCUUUUGUACCGGAAUAAACCUUUGUAUGUAUACGAAGCUGAAUGUACGGUAAGAAUAAGGAUCGGCUAACUCCGUGCCAGCAGCCGCGGUAAUACGGAGGAUCCAAGCGUUAUCCGGAUUUAUUGGGUUUAAAGGGUGCGUAGGUGGCCUAUUAAGUCAGGGGUGAAAGACGGUAGCUCAACUAUCGCAGUGCCUUUGAUACUGAUGGGCUUGAAUACACUAGAGGUAGGCGGAAUGUGACAAGUAGCGGUGAAAUGCAUAGAUAUGUCACAGAACACCAAUUGCGAAGGCAGCUUACUAUGGUGUCAUUGACACUGAGGCACGAAAGCGUGGGGAUCAAACAGGAUUAGAUACCCUGGUAGUCCACGCCCUAAACGAUGAACACUCGAUGUUGACGAUAUACGGUCAGCGUCUAAGCGAAAGC
This 797-nucleotide ribosomal RNA is filed under the name uncultured bacterium. Its description in RNAcentral is "bacterial SSU rRNA". It matches the Rfam family "Bacterial small subunit ribosomal RNA", at positions 61 to 858 of the family's 1533-position model. The record is from RNAcentral.